CUCGAGUAGGGCCCAAGCCAGCCAGGAAGGAGGAGGCAGCCAGAGUGGCCACCACUGCUCUCUGCAGCAGAAGACCCCUUGCUGCCAGUGUUUUGCAGACUGAAAGGCAAAUUUCCAGUUAACAAGGAACUUCAUGGAACUAAUCUAACUGUUCUCACAAGAGAAAAGGAGAUACUUCUCCGAGGCUCUGUGGAACUGCUGACUAUUUACAGACUACGACUUGCCCUGUGGCAGAGGAGAGAGACUUGUCCUUUGAAAAAGAUAAAUGACAGAUUCACAUCAUCUUUUUAAUAUGCCCUGUGAUAAAUUGAAACUUCAUCUGUAUUUCAUCUGAUAAUCUAUGCUGAGCAUUCUAAUAUUUUAGGAUGCACUAACGGAGCAAUAAUGUGCAUUCCUUCUGCUACCUGAUGCUACUGACCAAUUGUUCAUUGGCUGUGAUUGUUCAUUGGCUGUUAUGAAGAAAUCAGCCAAACCAAAACAGUAGCUCUUGAUAUAAAGGACUUGAACCAGCAUAGUUUCAGGCAGUGUAAUGUCUUAACUUU
Long non-coding RNA from Hemicordylus capensis (graceful crag lizard), 542 nucleotides. RefSeq lists it as uncharacterized. The transcript is spliced from 3 exons. The record is from RefSeq and is a predicted model, not a curated record. Lineage: Eukaryota; Metazoa; Chordata; Lepidosauria; Squamata; Cordylidae.